GACGAACGCUGGCGGCGUGCUUAACACAUGCAAGUCGAACGGAAAGGCCCUGCUUGCAGGGUACUCGAGUGGCGAACGGGUGAGUAACACGUGGGUGAUCUGCCCUGCACUUCGGGAUAAGCCUGGGCAACUGGGUCUAAUACCGGAUAGGAGCCAUUUUUAGUGUGAUGGUUGGAAAGUUUUUUCGGUGUAGGAUGAGCUCGCGGCCUAUCAGCUUGUUGGUGGGGUAAUGGCCUACCAAGGCGGCGACGGGUAGCCGGCCUGAGAGGGUGGACGGCCACAUUGGGACUGAGAUACGGCCCAGACUCCUACGGGAGGCAUCAGUGGGGAAUAUUGCACAAUGGGCGCAAGCCUGAUGCAGCGACGCCGCGUGGGGGAUGACGGCCUUCGGGUUGUAAACUCCUUUCGCUAGGGACGAAGCUUUUUGUGACGGUACCUAGAGAAGAAGCACCGGCUAACUACGUG
RNAcentral lists this ribosomal RNA (465 nucleotides) under uncultured bacterium. Its description in RNAcentral is "partial 16S ribosomal RNA". It matches the Rfam family "Bacterial small subunit ribosomal RNA", at positions 28 to 507 of the family's 1533-position model. The record is from RNAcentral.